ACUCAAAGGAAUUGACGGGGGCCCGCACAAGCGGUGGAGCAUGUGGUUUAAUACGUUACUAACCGUAGAACCUUACCAGGGUUUGACAUGGCGUGCUAUGCUAUGAAAGUAGCCUUCUCCGCAAGGAGACACGCACACAGGUGUUGCAUGGCUGUCGUCAGCUCGUGUCGUGAGAUGUUGGGUUAAGUCCCGCAACGAGCGCAACCCUCAUCCCAUGUUGCCAUCGGGUCAAGCCGGGAACUCUUGGGAAACUGCCGGGGUAACUCGGAGGAAGGUGAGGACGACGUCAAGUCAGCAUGGCCCUUACAUCCUGGGCUACACACAUGCUACAAUGGACGGUAGACAGAGGGAUCCGAGACCGCGAGGUGGAGGCAAUCUCAGAAAUCCGUUCUCAGUUCGGAUCGUAGGCUGCAACUCGCCUACGUGAAGCCGGAAUCGCUAGUAAACGCAGGUCAGCUAAACUGCGUUGAAUACGUUCCCGGGCCUUGUACACACCGCCCGU
This 502-nucleotide ribosomal RNA is filed under the name uncultured bacterium. Its description in RNAcentral is "partial 16S ribosomal RNA". It matches the Rfam family "Bacterial small subunit ribosomal RNA", at positions 899 to 1397 of the family's 1533-position model. The record is from RNAcentral.